This 1334-nucleotide ribosomal RNA is filed under the name Lactiplantibacillus plantarum. RNAcentral's name for it is "bacterial SSU rRNA". It matches the Rfam family "Bacterial small subunit ribosomal RNA", at positions 64 to 1386 of the family's 1533-position model. Lineage: Bacteria; Bacillati; Bacillota; Bacilli; Lactobacillales; Lactobacillaceae. The record is from RNAcentral.
GUGCUUGCAUCAUGAUUUACAUUUGAGUGAGUGGCGAACUGGUGAGUAACACGUGGGAAACCUGCCCAGAAGCGGGGGAUAACACCUGGAAACAGAUGCUAAUACCGCAUAACAACUUGGACCGCAUGGUCCGAGUUUGAAAGAUGGCUUCGGCUAUCACUUUUGGAUGGUCCCGCGGCGUAUUAGCUAGAUGGUGGGGUAACGGCUCACCAUGGCAAUGAUACGUAGCCGACCUGAGAGGGUAAUCGGCCACAUUGGGACUGAGACACGGCCCAAACUCCUACGGGAGGCAGCAGUAGGGAAUCUUCCACAAUGGACGAAAGUCUGAUGGAGCAACGCCGCGUGAGUGAAGAAGGGUUUCGGCUCGUAAAACUCUGUUGUUAAAGAAGAACAUAUCUGAGAGUAACUGUUCAGGUAUUGACGGUAUUUAACCAGAAAGCCACGGCUAACUACGUGCCAGCAGCCGCGGUAAUACGUAGGUGGCAAGCGUUGUCCGGAUUUAUUGGGCGUAAAGCGAGCGCAGGCGGUUUUUUAAGUCUGAUGUGAAAGCCUUCGGCUCAACCGAAGAAGUGCAUCGGAAACUGGGAAACUUGAGUGCAGAAGAGGACAGUGGAACUCCAUGUGUAGCGGUGAAAUGCGUAGAUAUAUGGAAGAACACCAGUGGCGAAGGCGGCUGUCUGGUCUGUAACUGACGCUGAGGCUCGAAAGUAUGGGUAGCAAACAGGAUUAGAUACCCUGGUAGUCCAUACCGUAAACGAUGAAUGCUAAGUGUUGGAGGGUUUCCGCCCUUCAGUGCUGCAGCUAACGCAUUAAGCAUUCCGCCUGGGGAGUACGGCCGCAAGGCUGAAACUCAAAGGAAUUGACGGGGGCCCGCACAAGCGGUGGAGCAUGUGGUUUAAUUCGAAGCUACGCGAAGAACCUUACCAGGUCUUGACAUACUAUGCAAAUCUAAGAGAUUAGACGUUCCCUUCGGGGACAUGGAUACAGGUGGUGCAUGGUUGUCGUCAGCUCGUGUCGUGAGAUGUUGGGUUAAGUCCCGCAACGAGCGCAACCCUUAUUAUCAGUUGCCAGCAUUAAGUUGGGCACUCUGGUGAGACUGCCGGUGACAAACCGGAGGAAGGUGGGGAUGACGUCAAAUCAUCAUGCCCCUUAUGACCUGGGCUACACACGUGCUACAAUGGAUGGUACAACGAGUUGCGAACUCGCGAGAGUAAGCUAAUCUCUUAAAGCCAUUCUCAGUUCGGAUUGUAGGCUGCAACUCGCCUACAUGAAGUCGGAAUCGCUAGUAAUCGCGGAUCAGCAUGCCGCGGUGAAUACGUUCCCGGGCCUUGUAC